RNAcentral lists this ribosomal RNA (468 nucleotides) under uncultured bacterium. RNAcentral's name for it is "partial 16S ribosomal RNA". It matches the Rfam family "Bacterial small subunit ribosomal RNA", at positions 28 to 507 of the family's 1533-position model. The record is from RNAcentral.
GACGAACGCUGGCGGCGUGCUUAACACAUGCAAGUCGAACGGAAAGGCCCUGCUUUUGUGGGGUGCUCGAGUGGCGAACGGGUGAGUAACACGUGAGUAACCUGCCCUUGACUUUGGGAUAACUUCAGGAAACUGGGGCUAAUACCGGAUAGGAGCUCCUGCUGCAUGGUGGGGGUUGGAAAGUUUCGGCGGUUGGGGAUGGACUCGCGGCUUAUCAGCUUGUUGGUGGGGUAGGGGCUUACCAAGGCUUUGACGGGUAGCCGGCCUGGGAGGGUGACCGGCCACAUUGGGACUGAGAUACGGCCCAGACUCCUACGGGAGGCAGCAGUGGGGAAUAUUGCACAAUGGGCGGAAGCCUGAUGCAGCAACGCCGCGUGCGGGAUGACGGCCUUCGGGUUGUAAACCGCUUUCGCCUGUGACGAAGCGUGAGUGACGGUAAUGGGUAAAGAAGCACCGGCUAACUACGUG